GACGAACGCUGGCGGCGUGCUUAACACAUGCAAGUCGAACGAAGAGCGAUGGAAACUUGCUUCUAUCAAUCUUAGUGGCGAACGGGUGAGUAACGCGUAAUCAACCUGCCCUUCAGAGGGGGACAACAGUUGGAAACGACUGCUAAUACCGCAUACGAUCUAAUCUCGGCAUCGAGGAUAGAUGAAAGGUGGCCUCUACAUGUAAGCUAUCACUGGAGGAGGGGAUUGCGUCUGAUUAGCUAGUUGGAGGGGUAACGGCCCACCAAGGCGAUGGUCAGUAGCCGGUCUGAGAGGAUGAACGGCCACAUUGGGACUGAGACACGGCCCAGACUCCUACGGGAGGCAGCAGUGGGGAAUCUUCCGCAAUGGACGAAAGUCUGACGGAGCAACGCCGCGUGAGUGAUGACGGCCUUCGGGUUGUAAAGCUCUGUUAAUCGGGACGAAAGGCCUUC
RNAcentral lists this ribosomal RNA (452 nucleotides) under Veillonella parvula. Its description in RNAcentral is "bacterial SSU rRNA". It matches the Rfam family "Bacterial small subunit ribosomal RNA", at positions 28 to 457 of the family's 1533-position model. The record is from RNAcentral. Lineage: Bacteria; Bacillati; Bacillota; Negativicutes; Veillonellales; Veillonellaceae.